CGUACACUCCUGCGGGAGGCAGCAGUGGGGAAUAUUGCACAAUGGGCGCAAGCCUGAUGCAGCCAUGCCGCGUGUAUGAAGAAGGCCUUCGGGUUGUAAAGUACUUUCAGCGGGGAGGAAGGCGAUAAGGUUAAUAACCUUGUUGAUUGACGUUACCCGCAGAAGAAGCACCGGCUAACUCCGUGCCAGCAGCCGCGGUAAUACGGAGGGUGCAAGCGUUAAUCGGAAUUACUGGGCGUAAAGCGCACGCAGGCGGUCUGUCAAGUCGGAUGUGAAAUCCCCGGGCUCAACCUGGGAACUGCAUUCGAAACUGGCAGGCUAGAGUCUUGUAGAGGGGGGUAGAAUUCCAGGUGUAGCGGUGAAAUGCGUAGAGAUCUGGAGGAAUACCGGUGGCGAAGGCGGCCCCCUGGACAAAGACUGACGCUCAGGUGCGAAAGCGUGGGGAGCAAACAGGAUUAGAUACCCGGGUAGUCCCA
RNAcentral lists this ribosomal RNA (476 nucleotides) under uncultured organism. RNAcentral's name for it is "partial 16S ribosomal RNA". It matches the Rfam family "Bacterial small subunit ribosomal RNA", at positions 330 to 797 of the family's 1533-position model. The record is from RNAcentral.